This 443-nucleotide ribosomal RNA is filed under the name uncultured bacterium. RNAcentral's name for it is "partial 16S ribosomal RNA". It matches the Rfam family "Bacterial small subunit ribosomal RNA", at positions 338 to 795 of the family's 1533-position model. The record is from RNAcentral.
CCUACGGGUGGCAGCAGUGGGGAAUAUUGGGCAAUGGAGGCAACUCUGACCCAGCAAUGCCGCGUGAAUGAAGAAGGUCUUCGGAUUGUAAAGUUCUUUAAUCAGGGAGGAAGAAGAUUACGGUACUUGAGGAGUAAGACACGGCAAACUAUGUGCCAGCCGCCGCGGUAAUACGUGGGUGGCGAGCGUUGUACGGAAUGACUGGGCGUAAAGGGAGCGUAGGCGGUCUGUUAAGUUGGCAGUGAAAGCCCGGGUCUCAACCCCGGAACUGCUUUCAAGACUGACGGACUUGAGUGUCAGAGGGGUAAGCAGAAUUCCUAGUGUAGCGGUGGAAUGCGUAGAUAUUAGGAGGAACACCAGUGGCGAAGGCGGCUUACUGGAUUAUAACUGACGCUGAGGCUCGAAAGCGUGGGUAGCAAACAGGAUUAGAUACCCGGGUAGUC